Molecule: ribosomal RNA, 468 nt
Filed under: uncultured bacterium
Lineage: Bacteria
Description: partial 16S ribosomal RNA
Rfam family: Bacterial small subunit ribosomal RNA
Source: RNAcentral
GAUGAACGCUGGCGGCGUGCUUAACACAUGCCAGUCGAACGGUGAAGGCGGAGCUUGCUCUGCUGGAUCAGUGGCGAACGGGUGAGUAACACGUGAGCAAUCUGCCCCUGACUCUGGGAUAAGCGCUAGAAACGGCGUCUAAUACUGGAUACGAGCUGCGAAGGCAUCUUCAGCAGCUGGAAAGAAUUUCGGUCAGGGAUGAGCUCGCGGCCUAUCAGCUUGUUGGUGAGGUAAUGGCUCACCAAGGCGUCGACGGGUAGCCGGCCUGAGAGGGUGACCGGCCACACUGGGACUGAGACACGGCCCAGACUCCUACGGGAGGCAGCAGUGGGGAAUAUUGCACAAUGGGCGAAAGCCUGAUGCAGCAACGCCGCGUGAGGGACGACGGCCCUCGGGUUGUAAACCUCUUUUAGCAGGGAAGAAGCGAAAGUGACGGUACCUGCAGAAAAAGCGCCGGCUAACUACGUG